UCUGUUGUGAAAGCCCUGGGCUCAACCUGGGAAUUGCAGUGGAUACUGGGUCACUAGAGUGUGGUAGAGGGUAGCGGAAUUCCCGGUGUAGCAGUGAAAUGCGUAGAGAUCGGGAGGAACAUCCGUGGCGAAGGCGGCUACCUGGACCAACACUGACACUGAGGCACGAAAGCGUGGGGAGCAAACAGGAUUAGAUACCCUGGUAGUCCACGCCCUAAACGAUGCGAACUGGAUGUUGGGUGCAAUUUGGCACGCAGUAUCGAAGCUAACGCGUUAAGUUCGCCGCCUGGGGAGUACGGUCGCAAGACUGAAACUCAAAGGAAUUGACGGGGGCCCGCACAAGCGGUGGAGUAUGUGGUUUAAUUCGAUGCAACGCGAAGAACCUUACCUGGUCUUGACAUCCACGGAACUUUCCAGAGAUGG
RNAcentral lists this ribosomal RNA (423 nucleotides) under Xanthomonas citri pv. punicae. Its description in RNAcentral is "bacterial SSU rRNA". It matches the Rfam family "Bacterial small subunit ribosomal RNA", at positions 588 to 1009 of the family's 1533-position model. Lineage: Bacteria; Pseudomonadati; Pseudomonadota; Gammaproteobacteria; Lysobacterales; Lysobacteraceae. The record is from RNAcentral.